CAAAGCACUUUGAAGAGAGAGUUAAAGAGGACGUGAAACCGGUGAGGUGGAAACGGACAGAGCCGGCGUAUCUGGCCCGCAUUCAGCUGUGGGCUCUUCAGCUUCAGUGGUUCUUCUCCAGACUGGGGCGCGUCGCUGUUUGCUGGUUGGCAUGCGGUGCAUUUGCGGGUGGAGUGCGCCGAGACGCUCGGGGCAGCGGCACAAUUCCGGUUCAGAGGCCAACUUUGUUUGGAACCCGUGCCGUGGGGAGUGUUGUUUGCUCUGGGUGUGCAGUUGGGGCGGUGGUUCCGGGCCCGGGUGGGUGCCGAGCUGGCAAUUGGUGGCGGUCGCAUGCGACGCGUACCGGCGGCCAGUUCGGUCCUGCUCGAGCCCUCAACCGUUCGUUCUCGGUGUAAAAGCCGGUCAUCUGUCCGACCCGUCUUGAAACACGGACCAAGGAGUUUAGCGUGUGCGCGAGUCAUUGGGCGUUGAAAACCCAGAGGCGCAAUGAAAGUGAAGGCAUCCCUCGUUGGAGCUGACGUGUGAUCCUGGCCACCGCGGUGUGCCGGGCGCAACAUGGUCCCGUUCUGGCCGCAUGCGGCGGGGCGGAGACAGAGCGUACGCGCUGAGACCCGAAAGAUGGUGAACUAUUCCUGAGCAGGACGAAGCCAGAGGAAACUCUGGUGGAAGUCCGAAGCG
This 678-nucleotide ribosomal RNA is filed under the name Scutellonema brachyurus. RNAcentral describes it as "eukaryotic LSU rRNA". It matches the Rfam family "Eukaryotic large subunit ribosomal RNA", at positions 367 to 882 of the family's 3401-position model. The record is from RNAcentral. Lineage: Eukaryota; Metazoa; Nematoda; Chromadorea; Rhabditida; Hoplolaimidae.